CAACCCUAGAGCCCUCAUCAUUCCUUCCAUCCACUCCCCAAUGCCUCCUCCUCAUCCCCAGCCGGCGGCUCGACCUCUCGUGCCCUCGCCGACAUCAACCUCUCCUGCACUCACACGCCAGCCGCCGAUCUCCCGCGCCCUCACCCGCCAGCAGCCGAAGUCGCUCUCCCCCGCAGGGGGCUCGUCCUUCCGUGGUGCUCAGCCACCGUCCGGUUUGGAGGGGGAAUAGGAGACCCCCAACGAAAACGAGCGUGCUAGCGGUGGACCCAAGGAUGCGCGGUGAUUGUGCCAGGUCCAUGCUCCAGUUCUUCUGUUGGGUGAGCUUCUUCACCCUUCUUGUCAAGGAGAUGUUCAUGUCUAGGUAGGUUCCUACAAAUGGGAUUCCUUUUGUUUCUUUCAGUCGACCAGAUGCUCAGAUCUAGCUAGGCUUUCAUGUAGAAAUUUUGUUGUCUUUUUAAGUUUGUUGGGUACCUCAGCUAAGUUUCCGCAAAGUGGAUUUUUGUUUGUUACUGCUCAAGAGAUGCUCUCGGAUCUAGCUAUAUUCCUGAAAGUUUUUUUUGUUGGCUUUCUUAGUUUGUUUGGUACCUUGAUCUUUCCUCGUCGAGAAGGGGAUAUAUUUGUCCUGGAGCUCCAUUUCUCUUUAUGGAGGAGUCUUUUGUUCCUUUGCUUGAUUUGGCGCCUGGCGUGGGCAUCUGUUUCAAGAGGGGACGACAUACAAUCCAUGCAAGUGUGCUUAGUUGUUGUAUGUAUGGAAGCUGCAGCAUCUUGCCAAUUAGUCCCCACUAAAAUUAAUUUACCUCUCCAUCUUUUUGUCUCGUGGAUAUCGAUGCGAGUACUGUAGGUAAAUAAAUGUUCUAUGGGAAAACAUGCUGAUUCAGAACCAUAGCAAAUGGAACUGUGCUUUGUAAGUAACUGGUACAGACGCUAUUUAGAACCAUAGCAAAACAACUAUACAAUUAAAAUAUCCAUGACUAAUUUGCAAGGUACAGCAGCGCGGAAGCAGCAACAGUCAUGUUCUCAAGCUUUGAUUUUGUAUAUAGAGCUAACGAUCCAUGCCCAAUAUGAAAAAAUAUCAUUUCUGCUUGGUCUUUUGUCCUUGGACCCUUCAAGAUGGCCAUCCCCUACUCCAUCAGAGUCCCUUGCUAUAAAAAAUCAGAAGUUUUCAGAUUUAGUUGUCAAAUGCUUAAUUAAGUUGACAAAGGUAUGUUGUCAUUUUUAUUUGACCAUUCUGAAUCUGUACAGAUAUCACUUCUGAAUGCACAUGUCAUCUUUCAGGUUCUUCAGAGUACAAUAUAUGAGGUUGACCUUGAUUGCAUUCUUCAAAGUGUUCAUAUUUAUUUACAAGAACUUGGAAUGGAAGAGAUACGGAGGAGGGCUGGAGCUGAUAACAAGCCAUUAAGAAUGGUCAAAAUUGUGCUGCAUGAACUUGUAAAGCUACGAGGCACAGCAAUAAAAGGUCACCUUUCAAUGGUUCCUAUAGACUCUGAGCAUACAUUGAUCUUAAUCUCCAGACCCUUGCAGCAGCUAGGAUGUUAACCCCAUCUGGACCUAUGGGUCAAACUCACUCGGGUGAUGCUGCAUCGAACACACCAAAUCCAUCAGUUCAUUCAACGGAUGCACAAUUGAAGGUUACUCCAAUUCCUUUCUCCUUCUAUCAAUGUCGUGCUUGUGGGUAAUUUUUUUUUACUUGGAGUUCAUGGUACUGUAUGCAUUUAGAUUAUUUGCGUUUUGCCAAUCAAAAGUUCCGACUUAAACUGUACUACCAUUGCUAUCAUGGCAUUGUGCAUGGAUGAGCGCAAUGCACACACUCGUUCUUUUGUUCUUAAAUACCACCAUAUUCCCCCAUCGUAGUUUGCUAAGAUGAUACUAUUAAAUAAUUUAUGCAUGAGUAUGUAUAAGAUAUUUUGUUACUCGGAUUAUAACUCUUGCCUGUGUUUGUUGAUCCAAACAAAGAUGUUUACUCAAGGUUGGUUUGUUGAUAUUAUACAUUGAUUUGAUCCACUUUCCACAUUUCCAUUGUUAAACCCUAAACAGGCAUCCAUGUCCUUGGUGCCACUUCUUUACAUUUAUAAGCAUUGUAAUCCUUUUUCAGUGGUGACUGUAAAUGAUUAUUUGGCACAGCGAGAUGCUAAAUGGAUGGGUCGCGUUCAUUGUUUUCUUGGCCUAACUGUCGGUCUAAUUGAGGUGUACUUCUACAUAAUGGUGUUGUCAUACUUUCUAGACUCCCUUAUCAUUCUGGCUUGGAACUAGUCAGUUUCUGCGCUGUUACAGUAUUUUUAUAUAAAUGUAUGAUCGGAGGAAAACAUUCAACCUUCUUUCACUCUUUCAUCUGUGGCAUAUGCAUAGGCGGGUAUGAAGUCUGAUGAGAGGAGAGCCAACUAUAUGUGUGACAUUACAUACACUAAUAACUCGGUAAGAUGCUCAGUAGAACAACAACUUUAAGAUAGUUCUAUAGUGGCUAUUCAUCUGAGGACCUUUCUUCUUCUUGCAACUUGGUAUUAUAUGUUAAAGUUGUCUUCAUUUCAGAUUAGAAGUAAUAAUAAAAUAAGUUGUCUUUGAAUCUGCCUGUGAGCUGCGGCCAUACUUGUUAAUGAACCCUUUACCUACUUAUCUUGGUUAUGUAGUACUUUAUAGUCAUAUCCCAUAUCAGUAUCCUUGUCUAAUUUAAGAUUGCUUUUCUUACUAUGAAGAAGAUUUGUGCUGCUGUAGUGUUCUUCAGUUUCUGGUGUUUAGAUGCCAGUUCAUUGUUGAGACAGUUCUGCUUUGUCCGUCUUCUGGAAAAUGCAGUAAGUAAAUUUUGUUUUCUGGACAUUUUUGCAGAUCCUAUUCGCCAAAGGAAAAAUAAACAGAUAGAGAGGUAUAAAUUCAACAAAAAACAUUUUUUAUUAAAAGGCUAUUCCAUUUGUCACCUAUUGUACUUGCCCAUGACUAAAACAAUUAAUACAUGGUUUUCUUUUCAAAGCAUGCACGAAAUUAGUAGGCCUCUGCGCAACGGGUUUAGUGCUGCCAGGAGAUUAAGUAUAUUCAUGAAGUUGUGCAAAGUUUAAAAUUGGUUGCAGUAUCUCACAUUUGUCAAAUCCUCAUAUGUUGCUGGUAGUCAUGCUUAUGCCCAGAAUAUUAAGUAAGCUUGUGCUAUGCUGUGACUAAAUAAAGCAAUGUUCAGACUUAUCUUUUGUUUGCUCUACUUAAAGUGUUCAGGGUUUACCCAGAGGGCAAUUAUAUGUUUCCUACUGCCAUCUCCCACGUGACGUCAAGAAAAUCCCUGAUGUUUAUGUUUUACUUGGCCUAAAUUUUGGUUUUCAAAUAGUUCUGCCUCUCAAUUUGAUAUUUCUACUUGCUUUUGCUUAGUAAUAUGAUGUACUGUUUUCUAGCUCUAGGCCUACUUGCAUUCAAGGUUCAGUUGAUUGUUCUUCUUAAGGGUGUUUUUUUAAUUAGUGGCAUCAACAUGUGGCACUAAUUCCGUUGUGCAUUGUAUUGUGAAUUUUCCAAGCAACACCAUUAUGGUAAAUAGAGAUGCUAAUGAGAAUAACAGAGAUGCUAAGAGACAACCUUUUGGGGAUAUAAACAACAUGGCUUAUGAGUCCGAAGAAAGCUGUCUUUUGGUUCUUGAAGCCCUGCACUUUCCUGGUGGAGUAGAAGCAAAAUAAUUCAGAGACUUUAAAGCUACUGCGCUUCAUGUACUUAGGAUUAAUUCUUAGUCUCGGUUUGAAAUACUCCCCACUUCUUACUAUUUGAUUGAUACGUCUGAUGGACAUUUUGUCAAGCAAAUGAACAGAAGGCAUAUGUAUUAUUACGAGUGAAGCCAUCCAUACAAGUUAAGAUAUUAAUAAUCCUGUAUGUGGAAUUCAAGAUAUAGAGAAAUGUUAUUAUUCUUCUGCAAAUUGGUUGCUUGACCAAA
Triticum dicoccoides is the source of this 3898-nucleotide RNA transcript. It is a transcript of the gene named protein MOR1-like, with no coding region annotated. The transcript has 4 exons. NCBI's taxonomy places the organism in Eukaryota, Viridiplantae, Streptophyta, Magnoliopsida, Poales, Poaceae. The record is from RefSeq and is a predicted model, not a curated record.